GUCCCCAUCGUCUAGCCUGGUCAGGACAUCGGAUUUUCGAUCCGACGACAGGGGUUCAAAUCCCCUUGGGGACGCCA
This 77-nucleotide transfer RNA is filed under the name Candidatus Omnitrophota bacterium. RNAcentral's name for it is "tRNA-Glu". It matches the Rfam family "tRNA". From Rfam's summary of the family: Transfer RNA (tRNA) molecules are approximately 80 nucleotides in length. Their secondary structure includes four short double-helical elements and three loops (D, anti-codon, and T loops). Further hydrogen bonds mediate the characteristic L-shaped molecular structure. tRNAs have two regions of fundamental functional importance: the anti-codon, which is responsible for specific mRNA codon recognition, and the 3' end, to which the tRNAs corresponding amino acid is attached (by aminoacyl-tRNA synthetases). tRNAs cope with the degeneracy of the genetic code in two manners: having more than one tRNA (with a specific anti-codon) for a particular amino acid; and 'wobble' base-pairing, i.e. permitting non-standard base-pairing at the 3rd anti-codon position. The record is from RNAcentral. Lineage: Bacteria; Pseudomonadati; Candidatus Omnitrophota.